CCUACGGGGGGCAGCAGUGAGGAAUAUUGGUCAAUGGGCGAGAGCCUGAACCAGCCAAGUCGCGUGAAGGAUGACGGCCCUACGGGUUGUAAACUUCUUUUGUCAGGGAGUAAUUGAGUCCACGUGUGGGCUUAGCGAGAGUACCUGAAGAAAAAGCAUCGGCUAACCCCGUGCCAGCAGCCGCGGUAAUACGGAGGAUGCGAGCGUUAUCCGGAUUUAUGGGGUUUAAAGGGUGCGUAGGGGGAAUAUCAAGUCGUGGGUAAAAAUUCGGGGCUCAACCCCGUCGGGCCGUUGAAACUGAUGUUCUUGGGUGGGCGGGAAGUAUGCGGAAUGCGUGGUGUAGCGGUGAAAGGCAUGGA
This 359-nucleotide ribosomal RNA is filed under the name uncultured bacterium. RNAcentral describes it as "partial 16S ribosomal RNA". It matches the Rfam family "Bacterial small subunit ribosomal RNA", at positions 338 to 694 of the family's 1533-position model. The record is from RNAcentral.